AUUGUACUCCCUCCGUUCCGAAAUAAUUGUCCGAGGAAUGAAUGUAUCUAGAUGUAUUUUAGUUCAGAUGCAUCCAUUUGUAUCCAUUUCUACGACAAGUAUUUCCGGACGGAGGGAGUAUUUG
Molecule: non-coding RNA, 124 nt
Organism: Triticum aestivum (bread wheat)
Lineage: Eukaryota; Viridiplantae; Streptophyta; Magnoliopsida; Poales; Poaceae
Source: Rfam